Molecule: ribosomal RNA, 466 nt
Filed under: uncultured bacterium
Lineage: Bacteria
Description: partial 16S ribosomal RNA
Rfam family: Bacterial small subunit ribosomal RNA
Source: RNAcentral
GAUGAACGCUGGCGGCGUGCUUAACACAUGCAAGUCGAACGAUGAAGCCCAGCUUGCUGGGUGGAUUAGUGGCGAACGGGUGAGUAACACGUGAGUAACCUGCCCUUAACUCUGUGAUAAGCGUGGAAAACUGGGUCUAAUACCUGAUAGGAGCGUCCACCGCAUGGUGGGUGUUGGAGAGAUUUAUCGGUUUUGGAUGGACUCGCGGCCUAUCAGCUUGUUGGUGUGGUAAUGGUACAGCAAGGCGACGACGGGUAGCCGGCAUGAGAGGGUGACCGGCCACACUGGGACUGAGACACGGCCCAGACUCCUACGGGAGGCAGCAGUGGGGAAUAUUGCACAAUGGGCGCGAGCCUGAGGCAGCGACGCCGCGUGAGGGAUGACGGCCUUCGGGUUGUAAACCUCUUUCAGUAGGGAAGAAGCGAAAGUGACGGUACCUGCAGAAGAAGCACCGGCUAACUACGUG